GACAGAGGGGGCGAGCGAUGACCGGAAGCACUGGGCGUAAAGCGCGCACAGGCGGUAACCUUAGUGUCGUGUGAAAGCCCCCGGCUCAACCGGGGGAGGCCAUGGCAAACUGGGUCGCUCGAGCUGCGGAGAGGCCCCUCGAAUUGCCGGUGUAGCGGUGAAAUGCGUAGAGAUCGGCAGGAAGACCAAGGGGGAAGCCAGGGGGCUGGCCGCAGGCUGACGCUGAGGCGCGACAGCGUGGGGAGCAAACCGG
Molecule: ribosomal RNA, 253 nt
Filed under: uncultured bacterium
Lineage: Bacteria
Description: partial 16S ribosomal RNA
Rfam family: Bacterial small subunit ribosomal RNA
Source: RNAcentral